This 254-nucleotide ribosomal RNA is filed under the name uncultured bacterium. RNAcentral describes it as "partial 16S ribosomal RNA". It matches the Rfam family "Bacterial small subunit ribosomal RNA", at positions 524 to 776 of the family's 1533-position model. The record is from RNAcentral.
UACAUGUGGGGCAAGCGUUGUUCGGAAUUACUGGGCAUAAAGGGUGCGUAGGCGGUUUGUUAAGUCACUGGUGAAAGUUUUCGGCCCAACCGGAAAAUUGCCUGUGAUACUGGCGAACUUGAGUGCGUGAGGGGUAGGGGGAACGAGCAGUGUAGCGGUGAAAUGCGUAGAUAUCAAGAGGAACACCUGAGGUGAAGACGGGUUGCUGGGCUGACACUGACGCUGAGUGCGCGAAAGCGUGGGGAGCGAACAGG